Long non-coding RNA from Panicum virgatum (switchgrass), 1305 nucleotides. RefSeq lists it as uncharacterized. The transcript is spliced from 4 exons. Lineage: Eukaryota; Viridiplantae; Streptophyta; Magnoliopsida; Poales; Poaceae. The record is from RefSeq and is a predicted model, not a curated record.
CACCUUGCUCAAAUCCGCCUCCACCUCGCACUGCAUCUCGCUCCCCCAUCCCCUCACCACCGCCAGGCCCGUGGAAGGCUUCACCAAGUCGGUGGUGGUGGCGGCGUUGCGGGUCGCCGUAGGCGGCGGCGUUGAGGCGGCGGCCGGGAGGAAGGCGCACCGCUGCGCGAUGGUCCGGGCGUCGUUGUUCUCGCCCCAGCCCGUGGCGGCCAAGGACACGCGGUUGGCAUAGGUGCAGGAGCUCUACGCGCCGCUCCUCCUCACCGCGCGCCGCCGCCACCGCUGCCGCUCCUCCUCCCUGCCGUGGCCGCCACCGCCGCCACCUCCUCCUCCAAAUCCCUGUCACCGCCACCUCCUCCGCCGCCGCCUCGGCCCGCCUUUGCCUGCUCCUCUAACUCCCAACUGCAUGCUCCUUGCGCCCCGAGGUCGAGCCCUGCUCCUUCAACUACGGCUCUCCACAUCCCGCUCCCUCUGUCCAGCAGCAACCUCCAGCCCGGGCUCUGCUUGAUUGGAUUCAAUUAGAUUCUAUUUUGUUCCCAAUUGUAUAAGAGAUAAAGAUCCUCUGCUCUAUCAAUUCUUAGUGUGUUAAUGUUAUUUGUGUAGCUGCAAAAGCAGCCGCAAUAGAUGCUGAACCUUGGGCCGGCAGCGACAAGCUUGUCUUCGAGGCACACCAAUCCAUGAGGCAUUGAGUUCUUUGGCACAUUUCUGAAUUGUUUAGGAUUGCUAUUUCUGAUGUAUCUAUCUUCUUUUUUUCUGUCUUUUGCAAUCACCUCAAAGUCCUAUUGUGCUUCUUAGGAUGUGUCAUUAGCAUGGAACAUAGGUCGUGCUGUCAUGCAGAAGGCUAAAUUGGAGAGCCUUUAGAAGAAGCUAUCAUAUUGUGCAUCUUGAAGCCCCUAAAUUGGAGAGCCUGUAGAAGCAGAUGCUGCACAGACCAGUGGCGUGCAACAUGGUGAUGUGUGGAGAUGCAAUCGGUAGCAGAAAGAUAAGCUGCUUACUCAGCUGAUUGUGUGAAACCAGGCACAAAAGAGUUUGAAAACAGAAGGUUGACAAUCACUUCAAUCGCUGACUGACUUCAUGGUGCAUGUAUUACCUAUUGAAAAAAACAAGACAGGUUUGCAAUUAAAAGCUAAGAUGGAUGCAAAACAUGGGCUCGUGCUUGAAACAUGGAUUUGCUUGAAGCUACUCUUUUUUUUUUGCAGAAUUGUGAGAUUUUGUUAGAUUAAUUAGUUAUACUGAUUUCAUGCUGAAUAGAAAGACUUUGAUGUUUUAUGCAUGUGAUGAGAUGUCUAUGGGCUAGUUUAUAUA